AUUGAACGCUGGCGGCAGGCCUAACACAUGCGAGUCGAGCGGAUGAAGGGAGCUUGCUCCUGGAUUCAGCGGCGGACGGGUGAGUAAUGCCUAGGAAUCUGCCUGGUAGUGGGGGAUAACGUCCGGAAACGGGCGCUAAUACCGCAUACGUCCUGAGGGAGAAAGUGGGGGAUCUUCGGACCUCACGCUAUCAGAUGAGCCUAGGUCGGAUUAGCUAGUUGGUGGGGUAAAGGUCUACCAAGGCGACGAUCCGUAACUGGUCUGAGAGGAUGAUCAGUCACACUGGAACUGAGACACGGUCCAGACUCCUACGGGAGGCAGCAGUGGGGAAUAUUGGACAAUGGGCGAAAGCCUGAUCCAGCCAUGCCGCGUGUGUGAAGAAGGUCUUCGGAUUGUAAAGCACUUUAAGUUGGGAGGAAGGGCAGUAAGUUAAUACCUUGCUGUUUUGACGUUACCAACAGAAUAAGCACCGGCUAACUUCGUG
RNAcentral lists this ribosomal RNA (484 nucleotides) under uncultured bacterium. RNAcentral describes it as "partial 16S ribosomal RNA". It matches the Rfam family "Bacterial small subunit ribosomal RNA", at positions 30 to 507 of the family's 1533-position model. The record is from RNAcentral.